This 468-nucleotide ribosomal RNA is filed under the name uncultured bacterium. RNAcentral describes it as "partial 16S ribosomal RNA". It matches the Rfam family "Bacterial small subunit ribosomal RNA", at positions 28 to 507 of the family's 1533-position model. The record is from RNAcentral.
GACGAACGCUGGCGGCGUGCUUAGCACAUGCAAGUCGAACGGAAAGGCCCUGCUUUUGUGGGGUGCUCGAGUGGCGAACGGGUGAGUAACACGUGAGUAACCUGCCCUUGACUUUGGGAUAACUUCAGGAAACUGGGGCUAAUACCGGAUAGGAGCUCCUGCUGCAUGGUGGGGGUUGGAAAGUUUCGGCGGUUGGGGAUGGAUUCGCGGCUUAUCAGCUUGUUGGUGGGGUAGUGGCUUACCAAGGCUUUGACGGGUAGCCGGCCUGAGAGGGUGACCGGCCACAUUGGGACUGAGAUACGGCCCAGACUCCUACGGGAGGCAGCAGUGGGGAAUAUUGCACAAUGGGCGGAAGCCUGAUGCAGCAACGCCGCGUGCGGGAUGACGGCCUUCGGGUUGUAAACCGCUUUCGCCUGUGACGAAGCGUGAGUGACGGUAAUGGGUAAAGAAGCACCGGCUAACUACGUG